CCAGUGCGGUAACGCAAACCAGCUCGGAGACGCCGAUGCGAGCCCGGGAAGAGUUUUCUUUCUCUGUAAGGAGAUCGAGUCCCUGGAAUGGGUUCGCCCCGAGAUAGGGAUGGUGGCUCCGUAGAGCAGUGCGGUUCUUGCGCUGUCCGGUGCGCUCGCGUCGGCCCUUGAAAAUCCGAGUGAGGGAGUGUGAUUUUCGUGCCGGACCGUACCCAUAUCCGCAGCAGGUCUCCAAGGUGAACAGCCUCUAGUCGAUGGACCAAUGUAGGUAAGGGAAGUCGGCAAAACGGAUCCGUAACCUUGGGAUAAGGAUUGGCUCUGAGGACUCAGCCGGUCGGGCUGGGGACCUGAAGCAGGAACGGCACUGCACCGGGACUGGGCGGGGCUCGCCGUUCACGCGGCACGGCCAAGCCCGGACCAGCGUCGGGACCUUCCUGUGGAAAGCCUCAGCUGCGCGGCGUCUGAGGGCUUCGUGCCCAAAGUGCUAUGCUUCGGCCGGCAAAAAACAGUCAACUCAGAACUGGCACGGACCGGGGGAAUCCGACUGUCUAAUUAAAACAAAGCAUUGCGAUGGCCGCUGGUCGGUGUUGACGCAAUGUGAUUUCUGCCCAGUGCUCUGAAUGUCAACGUGAAGAGAUUCAUCAAAGCGCGGGUAAACGGCGGGAGUAACUAUGACCCAAACGAGGAAAACGGAAGCAGAGGCGGUCUGAGUAUGCAAGAGUUCAAGCUCUAUACCAGAAAAGCCGGCACCGUUGUGCGCAGGAAAUCCUCGAUGGUACGCAAGUGAAUAAAGUCACCGACCAUCAAAACUUCAUUGAUUUUUGGAAACGCACGAUGACUGAGACGCCUCCUGUGCCCCCGUUGGACGUCAAUCCGCCCACGGAAAUACAUGACGACCUAUGGAAACCGGUCACCAGGGAUGACAUACGAAAACAUCUCCCGCCGUGUUCUACGGCUACUGGUCCGGAUGGAAUGACAUCGAGAGAACUGAGGAGCGUUCCGUUCUCUCACCUGGCACUGCUAACGAACCUAAUCCUGGUUAUUGGAGAGGUUCCGCGGAUCCU
This 1064-nucleotide non-coding RNA is filed under the name Ixodes scapularis (black-legged tick). RNAcentral's name for it is "Eukaryotic large subunit ribosomal RNA". It matches the Rfam family "Eukaryotic large subunit ribosomal RNA", at positions 1636 to 2273 of the family's 3401-position model. The record is from Rfam by way of RNAcentral. Lineage: Eukaryota; Metazoa; Arthropoda; Arachnida; Ixodida; Ixodidae.